UAGAGUUUUUCCCGGAUGAAAAGCCAAGCAGGCCCUUAAUAACCACUGUGUUUACCAGAAGAAUCAGUAUGAGAACACUAAAGAGAGACCUUCGAGAUCAUGGUGAAGAAGCCUUAAUACAGUUGGAGCUGUACCUAACCGUGAGUCUGCCUCUUUCCCAGGAGUGCAAGAACGUGUGGUGCCCUCUGUGGAGGUCAGGGCCGUUCUUUUCAGCUCUCUGCUUCGUAUUGUCAGUGUGAGUCACCACAACUUGUAAUGAGCGUCAUUAAUUGGGUUUAAAAAUACUGAAAAUUUUUAGCCUAGGGAAAAGUUUCUUAUGAAAGAGACAUUCUCUUCUGAGAUCAUCAUAAUAUGGGUUUGUGUGUUUGGGAACUGGCCACAAUUUUAAAGAUCUAAUUAUGCAUAUAAAAUGGGAAUUAUUGGAAUUUCACAGGAACAGAUUUAAACAGUCUUAAAUUGUGUAUCUCCUUUAUUGUAAUGUAUUGAAAAUUUUAGAGAAACUUUAGUUAACAUUUUAUUAAGUGCCAAUGUCAGAAUAUAACAAAUUAUAGUUUCUUAUGAGUGACAGGCCUACAGUUAUUAUUUUGGAAUAUUUGAUGAAGGAAAAGCUUACCCACUGGUUACUUGUAUAUGUAAGUCAAACUGUGAAGAUAAGGUGGAUUACAAAAGCUGUGGAAAGAAUGUUUUAGCCUGUAGACUCAGUCCUUUCCUGUCAGUUACUUAAUCUCCUCAUGCAGAUGUGAAUUAGAUGCCACUAUAAAGUCCAAGUCUUGGGUUAGGGAUUAGAUGCCAGGGAAACAUUUCCUGCCUAAAUCUAUGUAUGUGUGCCGUUCAAAAAAAAAUAAUUUAUGUGGAAAAGGAAAGUUGGGAAUAAAUGACUAUCAUAAAAAAUUCCCAUAGGCUAGCACUUCAAUUCCAUUUUAUUGUUCAUUAGUUAUGUAAAGCUUAAUUUUCAUUUCUUUUAUUUUUUUAAUCAGCGAAUCAUAAGACAGCUAUAUACAUAUAUAUUACAUCAUCAGAUCUAGAGUUUCAUAGAAGGCUUUACCCUGAGUUCUGUUGCAUACCUAGAGAAAGCCAAGCUCAGAGCAGAAUUGUCAGAGUGUAAUUAUCUUCUUUUAGUAGGAAUUUAUGUCCUGUGCCAGAGGAACUUUCUGGUGCUGAUUUCAAGACAAAGGAAGGGGUCAUUGUAGUUGUGGCUGUGGCUGGCUGAAAGGCAGGUACACAGACACUUGGC
This 1234-nucleotide long non-coding RNA is filed under the name Rattus norvegicus (Norway rat). RNAcentral's name for it is "long non-coding RNA NONRATT006139". The record is from RNAcentral. Lineage: Eukaryota; Metazoa; Chordata; Mammalia; Rodentia; Muridae.